AGUGAACGCUGGCGGUAGGCCUAACACAUGCAAGUCGAACGGCAGCACAGUAAGAGCUUGCUCUUACGGGUGGCGAGUGGCGGACGGGUGAGGAAUACAUCGGAAUCUACUUUUUCGUGGGGGAUAACGUAGGGAAAUUUACGCUAAUACCGCAUACGACCUACGGGUGAAAGCAGGGGAUCUUUGGACCUUGUGCGAUUGAAUGAGCCGAUGUCGGAUUAGCUAGUUGGCUGGGUAAAGGCCCACCAAGGCGACGAUGCGUAGCUGGUCUGAGGGGAUGAUCAGACAGACUGGAACUGAGACACGGCCCAGACUCCUACAGGAGGCAGCAGUCGGGAAUCUUAGGCGAUGGGCGAGAGCCUGAUCCAGCCAUACCGCGUGAGUGAAGAAGGCCUUCGGGUUGUAAAGCCCUUUUGUUGGGAAAGAAAAGCAGCAGGUUAAUACCCCGCUGUUCUGACGGUACCCAAAGAAUAAGCACCGGCUAACUUCGUG
RNAcentral lists this ribosomal RNA (492 nucleotides) under uncultured bacterium. Its description in RNAcentral is "partial 16S ribosomal RNA". It matches the Rfam family "Bacterial small subunit ribosomal RNA", at positions 29 to 507 of the family's 1533-position model. The record is from RNAcentral.